AUGAACGCUGGCGGCGUGCCUAAUACAUGCAAGUCGAGCGAACAGACGAGGAGCUUGCUCCUCUGACGUUAGCGGCGGACGGGUGAGUAACACGUGGUUAACCUACCUAUAAGACUGGGAUAACUUCGGGAAACCGGAGCUAAUACCGGAUAAUAUAUUGAACCGCAUGGUUCAAUAGUGAAAGACGGUUUUGCUGUCACUUAUAGAUGGAUCCGCGCCGCAUUAGCUAGUUGGUAAGGUAACGGCUUACCAAGGCAACGAUGCGUAGCCGACCUGAGAGGGUGAUCGGCCACACUGGAACUGAGACACGGUCCAGACUCCUACGGGAGGCAGCAGUAGGGAAUCUUCCGCAAUGGGCGAAAGCUUGACGGAGCAACGCCGCGUGAGUGAUGAAGGUCUUCGGAUCGUAAAACUCUGUUAUUAGGGAAGAACAAAUGUGUAAGUAACUAUGCACGUCUUGACGGUACCUAAUCAGAAAGCCACGGCUAACUACGUG
This 496-nucleotide ribosomal RNA is filed under the name uncultured bacterium. Its description in RNAcentral is "partial 16S ribosomal RNA". It matches the Rfam family "Bacterial small subunit ribosomal RNA", at positions 29 to 507 of the family's 1533-position model. The record is from RNAcentral.